This 435-nucleotide ribosomal RNA is filed under the name uncultured bacterium. Its description in RNAcentral is "bacterial SSU rRNA". It matches the Rfam family "Bacterial small subunit ribosomal RNA", at positions 29 to 507 of the family's 1533-position model. The record is from RNAcentral.
AGCGAACGCUGGCGGCAGGCUUAACACAUGCAAGCCGAACGGGCGUAGCAAUACGUCAGUGGCAGACGGGUGAGUAACGCGUGGGAACGUACCUUUUGGUUCGGAACAACACAGGGAAACUUGUGCUAAUACCGGAUAAGCCCUUACGGGGAAAGAUUUAUCGCCGAAAGAUCGGCCCGCGUCUGAUUAGCUAGUUGGUGAGGUAAUGGCUCACCAAGGCGACGAUCAGUAGCUGGUCUGAGAGGAUGAUCAGCCACACUGGGACUGAGACACGGCCCAGACUCCUACGGGAGGCAGCAGUGGGGAAUAUUGGACAAUGGGGGCAACCCUGAUCCAGCCAUGCCGCGUGAGUGAUGAAGGCCCUAGGGUUGUAAAGCUCUUUUGUGCGGGAAGAUAAUGACGGUACCGCAAGAAUAAGCCCCGGCUAACUUCGUG